Molecule: long non-coding RNA, 327 nt
Organism: Arabidopsis thaliana (thale cress)
Lineage: Eukaryota; Viridiplantae; Streptophyta; Magnoliopsida; Brassicales; Brassicaceae
Product: other RNA
Exons: 2
Source: RefSeq
GAAAUGUGGUCACAACUCACAAGUAUUGGACAAUUUUUUUGUUUGUAUAAGGCUCUUCAGUCCCAACCCCUAAAAACCUAUGAUAAGCCAAGUGGCAGAGGAUGAUGGAAAAGCAUAUCACUUUCUUGUGCAACACUUGGCAUUGUUAUACUCCAAUAUCUCUCGAUACGUUUUGGGUAGAGAUAACUCUUUUUUUACCUUGUGAUGGUAUCGACGGGCCUUAUGGGCUUUCAGUGAUGUUUGUUAACUAUGUGUAUUUGUUAUGGUAUGAAUUUAAAAAAAAAAAAACAUACGAGGAAAAACGGAAUUUUGAAGAGAAUUUGGGAG